Molecule: ribosomal RNA, 464 nt
Filed under: uncultured bacterium
Lineage: Bacteria
Description: bacterial SSU rRNA
Rfam family: Bacterial small subunit ribosomal RNA
Source: RNAcentral
CCACGGGAGGCAGCAGUGGGGAAUCUUGCGCAAUGCGCGAAAGCGUGACGCAGCAACACCGCGUGGGGGAAGACGGCCUUCGGGUUGUAAACCCCUUUCAGGAGGGACGAAGGCCGGCCGGUGAACAGCCGUGCCGGUUGACGGUACCUCCAGAAGAAGCCCCGGCUAACUACGUGCCAGCAGCCGCGGUAAUACGUAGGGGGCAAGCGUUGUCCGGAAUCAUUGGGCGUAAAGCGCGCGUAGGCGGCCCGAUAAGUCCGCCGUAAAAGUCAACGGCUCAACCGUUGAAAGUCGGUGGAUACUGUCGGGCUAGAGUCCGGAAGAGGCAAGUGGAAUUCCUGGUGUAGCGGUGGAAUGCGCAGAUAUCAGGAGGAACACCUAUAGCGAAGGCAGCUUGCUGGGACGGUACUGACGCUAAGGCGCGAAAGCGUGGGGAGCGAACAGGAUUAGAUACCUAGUAGUCC